Molecule: long non-coding RNA, 264 nt
Filed under: Setaria viridis
Lineage: Eukaryota; Viridiplantae; Streptophyta; Magnoliopsida; Poales; Poaceae
Description: long non-coding RNA (SVIR_LNC005351)
Source: RNAcentral
UUGGGGCAUUCCUUGCGGAGGCGGGUAACCUUGCCGGUGGCGUCGUCGACCUUGUAGAACUGGAGCACGGCGAGCUUCACCUUCUUGUGCUUGUGCUUGAUCUUCUUGGGCUUGGUGUACGUCUUCUUCUUGCGCUUCUUGGCCCCUCCCCUGAGGCGGAGCACCAGGUGCAGCGUCGACUCCUUCUGGAUGUUGUAGUCGGCGAGCGUGCGGCCAUCCUCGAGCUGCUUGCCGGCGAAGAUGAGGCGCUGCUGGUCCGGCGGG